Molecule: ribosomal RNA, 446 nt
Filed under: uncultured bacterium
Lineage: Bacteria
Description: partial 16S ribosomal RNA
Rfam family: Bacterial small subunit ribosomal RNA
Source: RNAcentral
CCUACGGGUGGCAGCAGUCGAGAAUCAUUCACAAUGGGGGAAACCCUGAUGGUGCGACGCCGCGUGGGGGAAUGAAGGUCUUCGGAUUGUAAACCCCUGUCAUGUGGGAGCAAUUUAAAAAGAUAGUACCACAAGAGGAAGAGACUGCUAACUCUGUGCCAGCAGCCGCGGUACUACAGAGGUCUCAAGCGUUGUUCGGAAUCACUGGGCGUAAAGCGUGCGUAGGCUGUUUCUUAAGUCGUGUGUGAAAGGCGCGGGCUCAACCCGCGGACGGCACAUGAUACUGAGAGACUAGAGUAAUGGAGGGGGAACCGGAAUUCGCGGUGUAGCAGUGAAAUGCGUAGAUAUCGAGAGGAACACUCGUGGCGAAGGCGGGUUCCUGGACAUUAACUGACGCUGAGGCACGAAGGCCAGGGGAGCGAAAGGGAUUAGAUACCCCUGUAGUC